This 72-nucleotide transfer RNA is filed under the name Camelus bactrianus (Bactrian camel). It matches the Rfam family "tRNA". From Rfam's summary of the family: Transfer RNA (tRNA) molecules are approximately 80 nucleotides in length. Their secondary structure includes four short double-helical elements and three loops (D, anti-codon, and T loops). The record is from Rfam by way of RNAcentral. RNAcentral also lists the same sequence under 1 other name. Lineage: Eukaryota; Metazoa; Chordata; Mammalia; Artiodactyla; Camelidae.
GUGAGUAUAGCUCAGUGGUAGAGUGCAUGCUUAGCAUGCAUAGGGUGCUGGGUUCAAUCCCCAGUACCUCUG